RNAcentral lists this ribosomal RNA (497 nucleotides) under uncultured bacterium. Its description in RNAcentral is "partial 16S ribosomal RNA". It matches the Rfam family "Bacterial small subunit ribosomal RNA", at positions 28 to 507 of the family's 1533-position model. The record is from RNAcentral.
GAUGAACGCUGGCGGCGUGCCUAAUACAUGCAAGUCGAGCGAACAGACGAGGAGCUUGCUCCUCUGACGUUAGCGGCGGACGGGUGAGUAACACGUGGAUAACCUACCUAUAAUACUGGGAUAACUUCGGGAAACCGGAGCUAAUACCGGAUAAUAUAUUGAACCGCAUGGUUCAAUAGUGAAAGACGGUUUUGCUGUCACUUAGAGAUGGAUCCGCGCCGCAUUAGCUAGUUGGUAAGGUAACGGCUUACCAAGGCAACGAUGCGUAGCCGACCUGAGAGGGUGAUCAGCCACACUGGAACUGAGACACGGUCCAGACUCCUACGGGAGGCAGCAGUAGGGAAUCUUCCGCAAUGGGCGAAAGCCUGACGGAGCAACGCCGCGUGAGUGAUGAAGGUCUUCGGAUCGUAAAACUCUGUUAUUAGGGAAGAACAAAUGUGUAAGUAACUAUGCACGUCUUGACGGUACCUAAUCAGAAAGCCCCGGCUAACUACGUG